RNAcentral lists this small RNA (127 nucleotides) under Marmota monax (woodchuck). The record is from RNAcentral. Lineage: Eukaryota; Metazoa; Chordata; Mammalia; Rodentia; Sciuridae.
GCUGGGUGUGGUGGCACAUGCCUGAAAUCCCAGCAACUCUGAAGGCUGAGGCAGGAGGAUUGCAAGUUUGAGGCCAGCCUCAGCAACUUAACAAGGCCUUAAGCAACUUAGCAAGACCCUGUCUCAA